AUGCCGCAUAGCACAAGCACGGCAGCAACACCGAUGAAGCCCUUCUCGCGGAGCCUCCAGAGGGACCUGAACGCCGCAGUUGACGACGAUGACGGCAAGCAGCACUCCGCCGACGACGGCGAUGGCAAGCAGAACACCGGGAGAGGCCUCCGGCGGCCGUCCCGGCUGUUCUACCUCGCGCUCCUCUACACCGUCUUCUGGGCCCUGGUAUUCUACCACCACUUCUCCACCAGCUCGCAACAAUCGGGCAGCGCGGAGGUGGCAGCGCCCACCGUGCUCCAGCUCAAGCCGUCGGCGUUCUUCUCGGCGUAUCGCUUCUUCCGCCGGGACCCGUGCGCCGGCCGGUACGUGUACACGUACGACCUGCCGCCGCGGUUCAACGCCGACCUCGUCCGCCAGUGCAACCGGGUCUCGAUCUCCUCCCACGUGUGCAAGGACGUGUCCCACGACGGGUUCGGCCCGCCCAUCACGGGCGGCGGCGAGGGCGGGUCGCUGCCGGAGCGGGGCGCCUACGACACCGACCAGUUCAUGCUGAGCAUCAUCUUCCACGCCCGGAUGCGGCGGUACGAGUGCCUCACGGCCGACCCCGCCGCCGCCGCCGUGGUGUACAUCCCGUUCUACGCCGGCCUGGACGCGGCGAUGCACCUGGACAACAAAGACCUCGCGGCACGGGACGCCCUGUCUCGGGACCUGAUGGACUGGCUGGCGCAGCGGCCAGAGUGGCGCGCCAUGGGCGGGCGCGACCACUUGCUCGUCUCCGGGAGGGGAACAUGGGACUUCCUCCGCAGCCCGGACUCAACCGGCUGGGGUAACACUCUCAUGACCUACGACCUGGCCAUCCGCAACGCCACGUUCCUCAGCACCGAUGCUAGCCCGCGGCACGGCAACGACUUCGCCGUGCCGUUCCCGUCGCACUUCCACCCCUCCUCCGACGCCGAGGUCACCGACUGGCAGGACCGCAUGCGCCGGCUGGACCGCGCGUGGCUCUGGUGCUUCGCCGGCUGGCCCCGUGCCCAUGGCGUCGGUAUGGGGCCCGAGCGCGCCCAGAUCAUCGAGCAGUGCGGCAAGUCGAGCCGCUGCUCUCUGCUUGGCAAGUUGAACAACUACGUGCCCAUGCGGCUGCUCGAGAGCGCCAAGUUCUGCAUGCAGCCGCGCGGCGACGGAUACACGCGCAAGUCCACCUUCGACUCCAUCCUCGCCGGCUGCAUCCCGGUUUUCUUCCACCCGGUGUCCGCCUACCUACAGUACACCUGGCACCUGCCCAGGGACUACCGGACCUACUCCGUCUUCAUCCCUCACGGCGACGUCGUCGGCCGGAACUUCAGCAUCGAGGAGGUGCUGCGUAGGAUACCGUCGGAGAAGGUGGCGCAGAUGCGGGAGCGGGUCAUCCAGCUUAUACCCACCGUGAUGUACCGGCACCCGGCGGCCAAGGGGCUUACGUUCAAAGACGCGUUCGACGUCGCCCUUGACCGUGUCCUCCACCGGGUGGCCAAGCGCCGGCGUGCCGCGGCCGAGGGACGGGAGUACGUGGACAGCGUCGACGGACGUGAUAGCUGGAAGUACGACCGGAUGCUAGAAGAUGGGCAGAACAAGAUAGGUCCGCACGAGUUUGAUCAAUAUCUAGUCAUGCACGCAACCAAAGAUUAA
RNAcentral lists this ribosomal RNA (1647 nucleotides) under Triticum aestivum (bread wheat). RNAcentral describes it as "partial small subunit ribosomal RNA". The record is from RNAcentral. Lineage: Eukaryota; Viridiplantae; Streptophyta; Magnoliopsida; Poales; Poaceae.